AUACGUAGGUGGCAAGCGUUGUCCGGAUUUAUUGGGCGUAAAGCGAGCGCAGGCGGUUUCUUAAGUCUGAUGUGAAAGCCCUCGGCUCAACCGGGGAGGGUCAUUGGAAACUGGGAGACUUGAGUGCAGAAGAGGAGAGUGGAAUUCCAUGUGUAGCGGUGAAAUGCGUAGAUAUAUGGAGGAACACCAGUGGCGAAGGCGGCUCUCUGGUCUGUAACUGACGCUGAGGCUCGAAAGCGUGGGGAGCAAACAGGUUUAGAUACCCUGGUAGUCCACGCCGUAAACGAUGAGUGCUAAGUGUUGGAGGGUUUCCGCCCUUCAGUGCUGCAGCAAACGCAUUAAGCACUCCGCCUGGGGAGUACGACCGCAAGGUUGAAACUCAAAUGAAUUGACGGGG
RNAcentral lists this ribosomal RNA (397 nucleotides) under uncultured bacterium. Its description in RNAcentral is "partial 16S ribosomal RNA". It matches the Rfam family "Bacterial small subunit ribosomal RNA", at positions 523 to 918 of the family's 1533-position model. The record is from RNAcentral.